RNAcentral lists this ribosomal RNA (1343 nucleotides) under uncultured bacterium. Its description in RNAcentral is "16S ribosomal RNA". It matches the Rfam family "Bacterial small subunit ribosomal RNA", at positions 28 to 1378 of the family's 1533-position model. The record is from RNAcentral.
GACGAACGCUGGCGGCGUGCUUAACACAUGCAAGUCGAACGGAAAGGCCCUGCUUUUGUGGGGUGCUCGAGUGGCGAACGGGUGAGUAACACGUGAGUAACCUGCCCUUGACUUUGGGAUAACUUCAGGAAACUGGGGCUAAUACCGGAUAGGAGCUCCUGCUGCAUGGUGGGGGUUGGAAAGUUCCGGCGGUUGGGGAUGGACUCGCGGCUUAUCAGCUUGUUGGUGGGGUAGUGGCUUACCAAGGCUUUGACGGGUAGCCGGCCUGAGAGGGUGACCGGCCACAUUGGGACUGAGAUACGGCCCAGACUCCUACGGGAGGCAGCAGUGGGGAAUAUUGCACAAUGGGCGGAAGCCUGAUGCAGCAACGCCGCGUGCGGGAUGACGGCCUUCGGGUUGUAAACCGCUUUCGCCUGUGACGAAGCGUGAGUGACGGUAAUGGGUAAAGAAGCACCGGCUAACUACGUGCCAGCAGCCGCGGUGAUACGUAGGGUGCGAGCGUUGUCCGGAUUUAUUGGGCGUAAAGGGCUCGUAGGUGGUUGAUCGCGUCGGAAGUGUAAUCUUGGGGCUUAACCCUGAGCGUGCUUUCGAUACGGGUUGACUUGAGGAAGGUAGGGGAGAAUGGAAUUCCUGGUGGAGCGGUGGAAUGCGCAGAUAUCAGGAGGAACACCAGUGGCGAAGGCGGUUCUCUGGGCCUUCCCUGACGCUGAGGAGCGAAAGCGUGGGGAGCGAACAGGCUUAGAUACCCUGGUAGUCCACGCUGUAAACGGUGGGUACUAGGUGUGGGGUCCAUUCCACGGGUUCCGUGCCGUAGCUAACGCUUUAAGUACCCCGCCUGGGGAGUACGGCCGCAAGGCUAAAACUCAAAGGAAUUGACGGGGCCCCGCACAAGCGGCGGAGCAUGCGGAUUAAUUCGAUGCAACGCGUAGAACCUUACCUGGGUUUGACAUGGAUCGGGAGUGCUCAGAGAUGGGUGUGCCUCUUUUGGGGUCGGUUCACAGGUGGUGCAUGGCUGACGUCAGCUCGUGUCGUGAGAUGUUGGGUUAAGUCCCGCAACGAGCGCAACCCUUGUUCACUGUUGCCAGCACGUUAUGGUGGGGACUCAGUGGAGACCGCCGGGGUCAACUCGGAGGAAGGUGGGGAUGACGUCAAGUCAUCAUGCCCCUUAUGUCCAGGGCUUCACGCAUGCUACAAUGGCUGGUACAGAGAGUGGCGAGCCUGUGAGGGUGAGCGAAUCUCGGAAAGCCGGUCUCAGUUCGGAUUGGGGUCUGCAACUCGACCUCAUGAAGUCGGAGUCGCUAGUAAUCGCAGAUCAGCAACGCUGCGGUGAAUACGUUCCCGGG